Molecule: ribosomal RNA, 340 nt
Filed under: Germaria ruficeps
Lineage: Eukaryota; Metazoa; Arthropoda; Insecta; Diptera; Tachinidae
Description: partial 16S ribosomal RNA
Source: RNAcentral
UCUUUUAAUUGAAGGCUGGUAUGAAUGGUUGGACGAAAUAUUUACUGUUUCAUAAUAAUUUUUAUUAGAAUUUUAUUUUUUAGUAAAAAAGCUAAAAUUUAUUUAAAAGACGAGAAGACCCUAUAAAUCUUUAUAUUUAAAUUAUUAAUUUUUUUUAGGUAUAUUUUAUUGUAAUAAUUAAUAGUAUUUUAUUGGGGUGAUAUUAAAAUUUAAUAAACUUUUAAUUAUUUUUUCAUUAAUUUAUGAAUUAUUGAUCCGUUAUUAGCGAUUAAAAAAAUAAGUUACUUUAGGGAUAACAGCGUAAUUUUUUUGGAGAGUUCUUAUCAAUAAAAAAGAUUGC